GCGGUCGUGGCGAAGCGGUGAACGCACCGGAUUGUGGCUCCGGCAUUCGAGGGUUCGAAUCCCUUCGACCGCCCCA
RNAcentral lists this transfer RNA (76 nucleotides) under Hydrogenibacillus schlegelii. RNAcentral's name for it is "tRNA-His(gtg)". It matches the Rfam family "tRNA". Rfam says of the family: Transfer RNA (tRNA) molecules are approximately 80 nucleotides in length. Their secondary structure includes four short double-helical elements and three loops (D, anti-codon, and T loops). Further hydrogen bonds mediate the characteristic L-shaped molecular structure. tRNAs have two regions of fundamental functional importance: the anti-codon, which is responsible for specific mRNA codon recognition, and the 3' end, to which the tRNAs corresponding amino acid is attached (by aminoacyl-tRNA synthetases). tRNAs cope with the degeneracy of the genetic code in two manners: having more than one tRNA (with a specific anti-codon) for a particular amino acid; and 'wobble' base-pairing, i.e. permitting non-standard base-pairing at the 3rd anti-codon position. Lineage: Bacteria; Bacillati; Bacillota; Bacilli; Thermicanales; Thermicanaceae. The record is from RNAcentral.